CUACGUGCCAGCAGCCGCGGUAAUGCGUAGGUCCCGAGCGUUGUCCGGAUCUAUUGGGCGUAAAGCGAGCGCAGGCGGUUAGAUAAGUCUGAAGUUAAAGGCUGUGGCUUAACCAUAGUACGCUUUGGAAACUGUUUAACUUGAGUGCAAGAGGGGAGAGUGGAAUUCCAUGUGUAGCGGUGAAAUGCGUAGAUAUAUGGAGGAACACCGGUGGCGAAAGCGGCUCUCUGGUCUGUAACUGACGCUGAGGCUCGAAAGCGUGGGGAGCGAACAGGAUUAGAUACCCUGGUAGUCCACGCCGUAAACGAUGAGUGCUAGGUGUUGGAUCCUUUCCGGGAUUCAGUGCCGCAGCUAACGCAUUAAGCACUCCGCCUGGGGAGUACGACCGCAAGGUUGAAACUCAAAGGAAUUGACGGGGGCCCGCACAAGCGGUGGAGCAUGUGGUUUAAUUCGAAGCAACGCGAAGAACCUUACCAGGUCUUGACAUCCCGAUGCUAUUUCUAGAGAUAGAAAGUUACUUCG
This 522-nucleotide ribosomal RNA is filed under the name uncultured bacterium. Its description in RNAcentral is "bacterial SSU rRNA". It matches the Rfam family "Bacterial small subunit ribosomal RNA", at positions 501 to 1021 of the family's 1533-position model. The record is from RNAcentral.